UUAAAAAUAAGCUAAUUUAAGCUUUUGGGUUCAUACCCCAACUAUAAAGAUAUACUCUUUUUUUUAAA
RNAcentral lists this transfer RNA (68 nucleotides) under Euryades corethrus. RNAcentral describes it as "tRNA-Met". Lineage: Eukaryota; Metazoa; Arthropoda; Insecta; Lepidoptera; Papilionidae. The record is from RNAcentral.